GAUUUUCAUUUAAUAUGUGCACUCAGAAAGAUAUAACUCCUUUUUAAUUACUUCUGCUAAAUUGAGGUGUGUUAGAGGAUGUCUGGUGACACCUUUUCAAGAGAAACAUAUGGCUGCUGCUAUUUUUAUACAUAGUUUCAUCUCAGCUUCAUACUCAGAGUAACAUGGAAAAAGGAUUUUCCUCACUCUAGGAGUUCCCUUCUCAUAUACAGUGUUGUGAGGAGGAGAAAGAUGAAGAUACAACUAUUGAGGAAAAACGUCACAUUUGGUGUUAUUUCUGAUUUAAAUCACUGAAGAAAAUUUGGCUCAUGCAGAAUUCAGUAGGAUUUACUUCAGUCAAGAGUCAUAGGAUUACCGUUCCGUUACAGA
Non-coding RNA from Pantherophis guttatus, 369 nucleotides. Lineage: Eukaryota; Metazoa; Chordata; Lepidosauria; Squamata; Colubridae. The record is from RefSeq and is a predicted model, not a curated record.